GGUCCCACUCUAUGACAUCUACUCAACCGCCGGUUCUGUCCAAACCAGAUUCGCCGCCGGGCCGGUUCCGCUCCACCGCCGGCCGCCGGCCGGGCCGCAACUCGCGAGCGGACCGCGCGGGGAUGGAGACGCACGGUAUGCGUACCGGCUCGGCUCGGCGGCACGCAGUGCCGAAGAGUCGCGGAAUGGGGGGAAGCGGCGGUUCCCCACUAGGCCACGGGGUACAGUCGAUGGCGGCGGCUGGGCGUUCGCUGCUCCGGCUGCUGACACUGGCAGCGUGCGCAACGUCAAACGCUUCGAGCCUGCGUGCAGUCCGUGCUUUUGAUCCAUGACACGUUGAGGCCACCAUUGCCCUCCGGCGAGAGCGCAUCCUGGAAGUCAAUGAGGGAGCUCCUCUCUUGCUCGGUACAGGAGGUGGAGAGAGAGGCAAAGGAGGGCAGGAGGACAAACGCCAGACUACAAAAAGGCAUGGCCAGUUUGAUGUUGUUGUGCUCGGAAAAUUGAGUGGCUGCUUGAUUCUCUCAUGAAACUCACAUCUGCUUGUUUGCUCAGUUUGGGCCCUGAUUGGCUACAGAAUCAGCGGUACUUUCUGCAAUUGCAUGGAGGAAGAAGAUAAUUGCUACUUC
Panicum virgatum (switchgrass) is the source of this 626-nucleotide long non-coding RNA. RefSeq lists it as uncharacterized. The transcript is spliced from 2 exons. NCBI's taxonomy places the organism in Eukaryota, Viridiplantae, Streptophyta, Magnoliopsida, Poales, Poaceae. The record is from RefSeq and is a predicted model, not a curated record.